UAAAACCUUUAUAUAGGUUUAAAACUAUCUGAGGGAAACCUUAGCAAUUUGAACCAUAUUCUAAAUGACUGAAAAAGUGAUGAAAAAGUCUCCAAACCCUUGUGUAUACAUGCCAACAUCCACUUUGUAAGAUAUUUAAGAUAGCAUUCAGUAAACUAAUUUCAAAGACAUAGGCAGUAUGUACUUAGUAAGACAUAAACCUUAGUAUCCUGAUGGAUCUUUAAGGACUUAGUCUUAAUCACCCUUCUUAGCAAUUGACACUGAGUGCUUUUGUAAGACGAAUUGAUUUCAAUGUGGGUAUAAGUAAAUUAUUCUCUGUGCUUUUCCUCUAUCGAGAAACAUCAAACCUGCUGUAAUGAUACACUGGAGCAAAGUCACUGUGACCUCCUGCUACUUGCUGGUCUACAGUGUUGCACAAUCAUUGAUCCAGAAGGACCUUGGCCAAGCUAAUCUGACACUAGGGUUCAGUGAAGAGCCACAGAGAUUGCUGCAGAAACUAUAUCAGAUUUGGAAUAAAAUAUUCAUCCCUGCAAAGUCUUCAAAUUAUGUUUAGAUUCAUGGUACUCAUCAAGAUUCCAGAGUCACUCUCAAAACUUAUUUCAGGCAAGGUGAUUUUCUUAGAAAAUCUCCAAAGCCAAACGGCAAAGAUAGAAAAACACUGGGGAAGCUAGUUAAAUCAAAAUGAAGAAACCCAUGUUAAACUCUGAAUCCUUUUAUGUGUAUACACACAAUCUAAUAUUUAAUAACACUUGCUGCCUACAUAUAC
RNAcentral lists this long non-coding RNA (766 nucleotides) under Bos taurus (domestic cattle). RNAcentral describes it as "long non-coding RNA NONBTAT000105". Lineage: Eukaryota; Metazoa; Chordata; Mammalia; Artiodactyla; Bovidae. The record is from RNAcentral.